AAAACAAAAUUAUUUGACUGAAUAUGCAUUUUAUUGAUUGAAAAGGUGUGGCUCAAAUGAGCAAUACAAAAGGAAGCAAUUCCUGAAAAGAGGUAAUUGCACUCAAAAGGAAAAAUCUAUCCUAUUGGCAAUGUGAAACCCGUGAUCUCAUCAAGUUCCAACUCGGUUACACCCCAUAUGUCCUCAGACUCUCCGUGCUUUCUGCCUUCUGAACAAGACG
Molecule: long non-coding RNA, 220 nt
Filed under: Lathyrus oleraceus (garden pea)
Lineage: Eukaryota; Viridiplantae; Streptophyta; Magnoliopsida; Fabales; Fabaceae
Description: Pisum sativum (pea) long non-coding RNA (PSAT_LNC016641)
Source: RNAcentral